Long non-coding RNA from Panonychus citri (citrus red mite), 2076 nucleotides. RefSeq lists it as uncharacterized. The transcript has 3 exons. The record is from RefSeq and is a predicted model, not a curated record. NCBI's taxonomy places the organism in Eukaryota, Metazoa, Arthropoda, Arachnida, Trombidiformes, Tetranychidae.
CUACAUUAACACAUUUAUAGGGUUUGGAUUAACCAAUAUGGUUGACACUUUGACUUUUUAAAUUUUACAUUUUGAGAUUAUGAUGUUGAUUAAUAUUAGACUUUAGUGGAAUUUUAAUCAAAUUAAUUGUGACCUCAAAUUGAUUGUCAUCUCUAAUAGUGUUCACUUUGAUUAGAUAAGUCUUGUUCUUGGUAAAUUCAACGAUAAUCUGAUGGAACAGAUGAAUGUUUAUUAUGGAAUAUUACUCGGUUGGAGAAGGCAAAACAAUCCACAAUUAACGAGAAGGAGAAUGUUGAAGAAUAGGAAAAAAAACAAUGGAAAUGUUAAACUCAAAGGAUAAUUCAUCAAUCAAAUGAGACAAAGGAGAUCAAAUGUUUAUCAUCUUAUAAUUAUGUCGUUUAUUACAAAUGAGAAUGGAUUAAUUGCUCAGUGAAAUGAGAAGAAAUUAUCAAGAAUAAGAAAGUUAACCUGCUAAUUAAGAAUUGUAAUUACCGGUGACAAUUUGUUUUUCUAUUUUCUCACCCUCUCAUCAAGUGGACACUUAACUGAAAGCAAAGAAGAUUUUGAUACAUUGUUCCAAUUUGUUCAAUCGAUAAGGAUGAUCAGAAAAUGUUAUCAAACAAUCACUAUACAAGUUGACUGCAUCAUCAUUUGAUUGAUAUUAUGAUCAGUAAUUGAAAAUGGAAUGAAAAAAGGUUAACAGAUUGAUAAAGAUGCCAGAUGAUUGAAUGGUUAACUUGAUUGGAGCAUAUUCUUGUAUUGGUGACAUCCAAAGAUUACCAAUAAUUAACUGGGCGGAGGGUAAUCAGAAAUGAAAGAGAUCAUCAUCAUCAUACCAUGUCAAAGGAGAAGGAGAAAAUUCAUGUAAUCGGUUUCACUCCAGAUAACCUCAAUUGAUUCAUCAUCAUCAACUUUCAUACAAGACUAACAUCUCAUCAAUAAUAAAUAAUAUAAAUGAUUAUGUAUAAGUUGACUUAGAUUUAUCCAGCAUUAGCCUAUUCCAAAUCAAUUUUCUGGAUGUAAAUUCAUUCCCAUCAUAAUAACAAUUCUGAAGUUAAAUUACAUUGGCACAGAAAUCAAAGAGGAUCAUAAAAGUAAAGCUAGAAAUCAAAUCAAAUCCAUUCUCAUCAUCAUCAUCAUCGUAAUUUUCCCCCCACUCAAAAACAGAAACAAUCAAAAGAAAUGACAAAGACAGAGAAAGAUCAACAAUCAAUGGCAAGUGAACUCGGUAAUAUAUAAAUUGUGAUAAAUGACAAUGAAUAUUACCAAAUUUUGGAUAAUCAAACCAUAACAUUUAAUCAACAUGAUGACGAUAAGAAAACUAUCAAGGGAAUCGAUGAGAAAAAAAGUCUCAAUUGUUUUCCAGUUGACAUUAAGUUUAAAUUGAAAUUUAAUUUAUCAAUUGCAAUUAUCGGAAUGAUGAUUUCGACGAUUAAAGUGAUAAAUCAUUUGUUAUCUUUUCUUACACCAAAUGGAAAAUGUUUAGAUCAUUAAAACGUGUAAAGAAUCAACAAUUUAACUUGGAACUUCUAGAAUUCGAUGAGCAAACUUUUUAUCAAGAGAUAGAAUUUUUUUUGUGUAUGUUAACAAUACAAACAACAAUUUAAUGUUGAUUAUUGUCAGAACAUUAUCUUAAAUAUUAAUAUGAUCAGAAUUCCGAAUUGAACUGAACUUUUCCAUUUGAUAAAAGAGAGAAAGAAAGAAAAUAUUUCCUCAAAUGUAAAGAGAAAUUCUCAUGCUCAUGAUUGUUCAUCUCAAUCGAUUGAAUAGUUAAUAAUUGUUCCUUUAUUGAUUAAAAUAUUUCAAGAAAACUAAUCAACAACAAUUAACAACAAAACUGUUGGUUGAUGAGCCGUUAAUAAUUAAGAUAACUAUUCAAGUUAACCACGAAACGGAGGUUCAAACGAAAACACAAAGUUCGUUUUUUUGGACAUAAAAUUUCAAUACAACGAAAAAGAUUCAACAUGAAGUUUUCUCUUGCUUAGGAUGAUCAUUUGACCUUUCAAGAUGAAAUUUUCGUCCGAUUUACAGGAAACACUGAAUUGAUCAACUACUCACCUUGGACAAACAUCUACU